This 253-nucleotide ribosomal RNA is filed under the name uncultured bacterium. RNAcentral describes it as "partial 16S ribosomal RNA". It matches the Rfam family "Bacterial small subunit ribosomal RNA", at positions 524 to 776 of the family's 1533-position model. The record is from RNAcentral.
UACAGAGGCCCCAAGCGUUACUGAGAAUCACUGGGUUUAAAGGGUGCGUAGGUGGCGCGUUAAGUCCGUUGUGAAAUCCCUUGGCUCAACCAAGGAAAUGCUUCGGAUACUGGCGUGCUUGAGGCCGGUAAGGGUCACUGGAACUGACGGUGGAGCGGUGAAAUGCGUAGAUAUCGUCAGGAACGCCAAUGGUGAAGACAGGUGACUGGGCCGGUUCUGACACUGAGGCACGAAAGCGUGGGGAGCGAACGGG